RNAcentral lists this ribosomal RNA (167 nucleotides) under uncultured rumen bacterium. RNAcentral's name for it is "partial 16S ribosomal RNA". It matches the Rfam family "Bacterial small subunit ribosomal RNA", at positions 340 to 524 of the family's 1533-position model. The record is from RNAcentral.
UACGGGAGGCAGCAGUGGGGAAUAUUGCACAAUGGGCGCAAGCCUGAUGCAGCGACGCCGCGUGAAGGAAGACGUAUUUCGGUAUGUAAACUUCUAUCAGCGGGAAAGAAGAUGACGGUACCCGACUAAGAAGCCCCGGCUAAUUACGUGCCAGCAGCCGCGGUAAU